RNAcentral lists this ribosomal RNA (484 nucleotides) under uncultured bacterium. RNAcentral describes it as "partial 16S ribosomal RNA". It matches the Rfam family "Bacterial small subunit ribosomal RNA", at positions 30 to 507 of the family's 1533-position model. The record is from RNAcentral.
AUUGAACGCUGGCGGCAGGCCUAACACAUGCAAGUCGAGCGGAUGAAGGGAGCUUGCUCCUGGAUUCAGCGGCGGACGGGUGAGUAAUGCCUAGGAAUCUGCCUGGUAGUGGGGGAUAACGUCCGGAAACGGGCGCUAAUACCGCAUACGUCCUGAGGGAGAAAGUGGGGGAUCUUCGGACCUCACGCUAUCAGAUGAGCCUAGGUCGGAUUAGCUAGUUGGUGGGGUAAUGGCCUACCAAGGCGACGACCCGUAACUGGUCUGAGAGGAUGAUCAGUCACACUGGAACUGAGACACGGUCCAGACUCCUACGGGAGGCAGCAGUGGGGAAUAUUGGACAAUGGGCGAAAGCCUGAUCCAGCCAUGCCGCGUGUGUGAAGAAGGUCUUCGGAUUGUAAAACACUUUAAGUUGGGAGGAAGGGCAGUAAGUUAAUACCUUGCUGUUUUGACGUUACCAACAGAAUAAGCACCGGCUAACUUCGUG